ACCUUCUCGCCUCAGCCUCCUGAGCAGCUGGGACUACAGGUGCCAUGGUACAGAGCUCCUGUAGGAUAAAGACCCCUUGCCUGAGAAGCUCCUGCCUGAGCAUCCCGCUUAAGAUUGCUAUGUUCCAAGUGGAAAAGCUGGGAGCAGAAUCAGCUAGAAAAUUGUUCAGACUCAGCUUGUCUGGUAUUGGUCGAGUGGUGUCAUUUGGGCACACCCAAAUAAAUGGAGUCAUUUACUGAGGAGGGCUGAAAAAUGCCAUCAUCACUUGGACAGUCUUUUGAGAAAGUCUGGACUACAUCUUAGGUAAGUGUUCAGAAGGGUUUCAUGUACUGCUGGCUCUGAAACAGUGAAGGGCCUGAGAUGUCACCCUCCUUGUACAGUCACACAGACACACACAUACACAAG
Long non-coding RNA from Homo sapiens (human), 405 nucleotides. RefSeq lists it as uncharacterized. The record is from RefSeq and is a predicted model, not a curated record. NCBI's taxonomy places the organism in Eukaryota, Metazoa, Chordata, Mammalia, Primates, Hominidae. The transcript is spliced from 3 exons.